UUCUUUUUCGAAUCGUAGCGGAAAAUUUAUUCGAAAUUUUUUGAAUUGAAAAGUUGUAUUUUGAAAUGAAAAUAUUUCUGGAUACUUUCAACACAGUUAAUAAUAAGAGGAAAAAGAUGGAGAAAUACGUUGUUAUUGAUAUUGAUAUUCUCAUGUUUAUUUGAAAAAAAGUUAUUUUUCUCUAUUUUCCAUUCCAAUUUUAUUUUCUAUUCAAUCAAACCAGAUUCAGCUCCGUUAUAUUGUGAUUCGUCAUUAAAAUACGUUUUGUUCUCAAUAUUUUCAAACAUUUUCCAAGCAAAUGAGGAAAACAAUGCAAAUAUGUGAAAUGGUAAUUAUGCAAUUUUGCCGUCAGAGGGUUGCACGCGACGAUCAACUGCGAUAAAUUAUCUGUCAUUCAGUGGUGGUAUUGCUGUUCGAUUUCAUGAGCAAUGCUCAUUGAGCAUUUGUUCAUUUGAAUCAUUUCUUAUUGGGACGGCGCAUCAUUCGGUUCGUUCACUGUGAAAAUUCACUUCAGCAUCCACAUUUUGUCUUCAACGAAUUUCGUCAUCGUACAUUGAACACAAUGUCUUCGCGUGAUCAUUGGGACACCCUCAAAGCCUACAAGGAAAUGGACAGACAGGAUCGAGAAGCCGCAAAAACGAGUUCGGUUCCAGAAUACCAAAGAACCGGCGUUGUGGACAUUAGCUCACGCGGAUCCGGAGGAUACUCGCAAAGUUCGGGCAAUUCGGGCAAUUCCAAUUCGAACCAAGGCUCGUACAGAUCCAAAUGAAAAGAAAGACAAGAAACCAAAUGUCCUACAAAAAUUACGCACUUUCCGAUUUCAAAGUCGUUGAUUCAAGAAAUGUGAAUAAAAUACAAUUCGGUUUUUUAUUUGUCAUGACCAAAACUUGA
Sitodiplosis mosellana (orange wheat blossom midge) is the source of this 891-nucleotide long non-coding RNA. RefSeq lists it as uncharacterized. The record is from RefSeq and is a predicted model, not a curated record. NCBI's taxonomy places the organism in Eukaryota, Metazoa, Arthropoda, Insecta, Diptera, Cecidomyiidae. The transcript has 2 exons.